AUGUGGACAGUCUGGGACAAACUCCUCCUGUUCCUUGAAGCCUAUUAGAAGCAGCUCUGCCACAACCUUUGGAGAUCAGGUCUCUGGGAGUCCCGUAGAUGACAAAAAGAGUGGACGCUAAUCCUGAGCUACCAAAAAACCCACAGGUACAGGAAAGGCAGAUUAUGUUCUGCAAAUCAUACACUGGGAUCUAGCCAAGUACAAAAGAAACUAAAUAAGAGCUGCAGUCAGGCCUUCGAAGGUAAAACAGUGUGAAACAUUUGCUUCUGUUAAAAGUAUUCCAAGUGCUUUUUUUGUGUGUCAGUCUUCCUGCAAAAUC
Molecule: long non-coding RNA, 319 nt
Filed under: Ficedula albicollis (Collared flycatcher)
Lineage: Eukaryota; Metazoa; Chordata; Aves; Passeriformes; Muscicapidae
Description: lncRNA (ENSFALG00000028118.1)
Source: RNAcentral